UUUUUUUUAAUUUUUAUCUUUUGAUAGUUUUUGAAGGCUUAGUCUGGGUUGAUUUGCUUUCUACUAAAACUAAAUAAAGAUUUAACAAAGCUGCCUAACUUAACGUACGCAUAAACAACAACUGUUCUUUCAAAGAUAUUUUUUUAUACGUCUCUCUAUACACAAACCGCACAAGUUUAGGUUAACAAACAGACAGAUGAAAAGCAGACUAUUGUGUGUUGUCCGUCCCUCUCCCUCGAAAUGCAGAAUCAAUGGAAGGACCAGUUAAAAACUGGCUCCUGGACAAGAAAGACCCGGUCCAGCCCUUUGAAUGCUGCACCGACGCUUUCUAAAAGAAAAGCUAAGAGGAAAGAGGGCGGCGUUGGAGCCCUGUGUCGAGGGAUGUUAUUGAACACACGCUUCAGAGGUAGUUGAACGAUGGAUAUUCCCAGUUGGAUCGGAGUAUGAGGUGAGUACCUGGGAGAAAAGAGUUAACGUUCGCCCGCUCGAAUCUCUAGUGACGAAAUCCUAUGCGUGUCUUUGAACUCUCUGUAGUUAUUUUUUUUACUUUUUAUUUUUUCAUUCUUCGGAUUGCGGUUAGUAUUGAUUCUUCUUGGCAUGCAAAUUCUCAAUUCUUCUCGCUAUUUCGAUGUCGUUCCACUGGAAUUCUUCCUUUUUACUUUCGUCUCUUCUUUCGUUAUGGAUUCAGGUAUAUCGCACUUACAGUUUCAUCAUGUAUACUUG
Molecule: long non-coding RNA, 723 nt
Filed under: Androctonus crassicauda
Lineage: Eukaryota; Metazoa; Arthropoda; Arachnida; Scorpiones; Buthidae
Source: RNAcentral